ACUGCAGGUGUGGAAACAGGAAGAGAACUAGAACUGGAAGUAAAGCAUUGAAGAUGUGACUGAAUUGCUGCAAUCUCAUGAUCAAAUUUGAAUGGAUGAGGAGUUGCUUUUUAGGGAUGAGCAAAGAAAGUGGUUUCUCGAGAUGGAAUCUACUGGUGAAGUUGCUGUGAACAUUGUUAAAAUGCCAAUAAAGGAUUUAGGAAUUACAGAAACCUGGUUGAUAAAGCAGUGCCAGGGUGUGAGAGAGUUGACUUCAAUUUUGAAAUAAGUUCCACUGGCUGGGUGUGGUGGCUCACACCUGCAAUCCCAGUACUUUAGGAGGCCGAGACUGGUAGAUCAUUUGAGGUCAGGAGUUCAAGACCAGCCUUGCCAACAUGGUGAAACCCCACCUCUACCAAAUUAGCCAGGUGUGGUGCACACCUGUAGUCCCAGCUACUUGGGAAGCUGAGGCAGGAGAAUCUCUUGAACCAGGGAGGAGGAGGUUGCAGUAAGCCGAGAUGGCGCCCCUGCACUCCAGCCUGGGUGACAGAGUGAGACCUUGCGUUUAAAAAAAAAAAAAAAGGAAAAGGAAAAAAAAGUUCUACUGUGGGUAAAAUGCUAUCAUGCUAUCAAACAGCAUCACAUGCUACAGAGAAGUCUUGUGAAAGGAUGUCAGUGUGGCAAACUUCAUUGUCUUUUAAGAAAUUGCCACAGCUAUCGUAAUCUUCAACCACCACCACCCUGAUGAGUCAGUAGCCAUCGUUAACGUUGGCGUAAGACCCUCCACCAGCAAAAAGAUUGUUAGCAUUUUUUUAGCAGUGAUGUAUUUAUCAAUUAUACAUAAUGCUAUUGUACACUUCUUAAUAGACUAUGGUAUAGUGUAACCAUAAUUUAUGCACUGGGAAACCAACAAAUUCAUGAGAUUCGCUUUAUUGUAGUGCUCUGGAAUUGAGCCUGCCGUGUUUCUGAGGUAUACCUGUGUAUUUAGUAUGUUCCUUGUAUAUAAAACCCCAUUUUAUAGGGUAGGAAACUAAGGCUUAGAGUUUGAGCAAUUUUCCCAUAGAUAACACCAAUAAAUUGAGGGCUGCAGAGACCACUUAAGUGGUUCUCUUAACAGUAGUCUAGACAUGACGUAAUGAGAUUUGGCUUAGGAGUGACAAUGGUAAGGAAGUUAAAGGAUUCAGGAACCAAAUACCAGUUAUUGAGAAGAAAGAAUGGCCUCAAAACAUCACUUCUCAAGGAAGCCUUGAUACCCUCACCCUUACUACACUGUAUCCUCCAUUUGAAUGUUGUCAAGAGCUCUUCUCACAAUUGUAAAUAAUAAUUGUGUAAUUUUGUUUUUUUUUUCCUACUUUAGGUUGCUCCUUGAGGGCAGGACAGUUCUUAUGGCUUUAUCCGUUGCGUAAGCACAGAGAGGUCUGCGAGGUCAAAACUAUUGUCAUGAUAGCAAGAUGCCUGUCUUUUUCAUUUAUUCUCACGGUGUGCAGAGGCUACAUGAUGUGUGAUGACAUCCUCAUUGAUGUUAAUGAAUGGUGCUAUACUUGAAUUUUCUAAGGUGUCAUUAGGUAGGUUUAGGUAUGCAUACUUGUUUUUAGAAAUUAUUUUUUUCCUUUUUCCCAUUUUUAGAAAUCAACUCAUUUUUUAGGUUAUGCCUUCAGUAAUCUUUGCAACCUCAAUAUUGUGUAAUGGUUACUUUAAAAUACUGUAGUUUUCUUUGUGCCUAAGUAUAAACAUAAGUACAUUUUGUUGUUUUGUUUGCAAUAGUGGUUUAAAUAUUUUCCCAAAAUAUCCAAAUUUAAAAAUUCUACAACUUUAGAAUUUAAUAAAUUUAUUCUAAAAUAUUUAUAUAUUUUUUCAUUUAAGAAUGGAUCGGCUUAAAAAGACUGCUUCUCAUUUACUUACUGGCUAUACCAUCUGUAUACUAAUAAAAAACAAGAUUUGAUUUGGAAGGACUGACUCAAACUAACGAAAAUAUGAAACCUGUCUUUCUGCUUUGGAGAUAUUUACCUAAUCAUGUUCUGCAGUAGAAUAAUUUAGUUCUUUUGUCUUUUUUUGGAGAUGAGGUCUUGCUGUGUUGCCCAGGCUAUUCACAGCUGCCAUCAUAGUGAACUACAGCCUGAAACUCCUGGGUUCAAGAGAUCCUUCUGCCUCAGCCUCCUGAGUAGCUGGAACUAUAGGCAUGCGCCACCAAGCCUGGGCUUUUAAAAAAAUUUUAAAAAGAAUUUUGAGACAGGAUCUUGCCAUGUUGCUCAGGCUAGUCUUCAACUCCUAGCCCUGAGUGAUCUUGCUUUGGGCCUCUCAAAAUGUUGAGUUAAUAGGCGUGAGCCACCAUACCCAGCCAAAAAUUUUUUUAGAGAUGGGAAUGGAAUGAUCUUGAAUAGUGUUGGUGCCACCUAUGUUGUGGCAUCAUUUUGAAACCAAUCAUUCAGAGUGCUUUUUUUGGUAAGGCAUUAUUUUUUAAUGCAGGUAUGCCACUACUGGGAAAAAAAAAAAAACAGGUUUUAAAGCUAGAAAUGAAAAGCUACUUAAGUAUCUUAAAGGAUAAGUUACUUUAUUAUACACUAGAAACAUACACAAUAGCUGAAAAACUUAAAAAAUCUCACACUGCUGAAUGUCUCUGCUGGCUGAAGUGUAAGUAAAAGAUCAUAGUAGUGCCGCUGUUGAGUGAUAAAGCAACUUGUCAUUAAAGAUGUGUGUGCAGACAUGGAUUCUGAGUUAAUAUCUCAUCUGUAGAAGUAUAUAUUUGUCCCUUGCUUUGGGAUUGGUUUCUGGACAGCACUCCCCCACCCUUGCUGGCCAUUUGCCAAGGACACCAAAACCCAAGGAUGUUGAAUUCCCUUUUAUAAAAUGGCGCUGUAUCUGCAUACAACUUACACACAUCCUCCCAUAUACUUUAAAUCAUUUCCAGAUUUCUUAUACUUCAUACAAUGUGAAUGCUAUAUAAAUAGUUGUUACAUUGUGUACUUAUAUUUGUACUAUUGUAUUAAAUAUUCUCAAAUAUUUUCAAGC
RNAcentral lists this long non-coding RNA (2988 nucleotides) under Homo sapiens (human). RNAcentral's name for it is "non-protein coding THUMPD3-AS1:29". Lineage: Eukaryota; Metazoa; Chordata; Mammalia; Primates; Hominidae. The record is from RNAcentral.